Molecule: ribosomal RNA, 402 nt
Filed under: uncultured bacterium
Lineage: Bacteria
Also listed under: 1 other name
Description: bacterial SSU rRNA
Rfam family: Bacterial small subunit ribosomal RNA
Source: RNAcentral
UGGGGAAUAUUGCACAAUGGGGGAAACCCUGAUGCAGCGACGCCGCGUGGAGGAAGAAGGUCUUCGGAUUGUAAACUCCUGUUGUUGGGGAAAAAGAGGAUGGUACCCAACAAGGAAGUGACGGCUAACUACGUGCCAGCAGCCGCGGUAAAACGUAGGUCACAAGCGUUGUCCGGAAUUACUGGGUGUAAAGGGAGCGCAGGCGGGUAUGCAAGUUGGGAGUGAAAUACAUGGGCUCAACCCAUGAACUGCUCUCAAAACUGUGUAUCUUGAGUAGUGCAGAGGUAGGCGGAAUUCCCGGUGUAGCGGUGGAAUGCGUAGAUAUCGGGAGGAACACCAGUGGCGAAGGCGGCCUACUGGGCACCAACUGACGCUGAGGCUCGAAAGUGUGGGUAGCAAACA